RNAcentral lists this ribosomal RNA (954 nucleotides) under Aphelenchoides blastophthorus. RNAcentral's name for it is "partial large subunit ribosomal RNA". Lineage: Eukaryota; Metazoa; Nematoda; Chromadorea; Rhabditida; Aphelenchoididae. The record is from RNAcentral.
AAGGGAUAAGCUCAGCGCAAAAGAAGAUUUUCUUUGAGAAUUUUCGGUGUUGCGUUUGAAGUGUUUAAUUUGUGGAAGUGAUGUGGUCUAAAUUUCGCUGGAACGCGGUUGCAAAGAUGGUUUUACACCAGUUUGGCCAUAUUACUCUACAAAGUUGACAUUUUUGGAGUCGAGUUGUUUGGAAACGCAGCUCAAAGUGGGUGGUAAACUUCACCUAAAGCUAAAUACGGCUACGAGACCGAUAGCAAACAAGUACUGUGAAGGAAAGUUGAAAAGCACUUUGAAAAGAGAGUGCAAGAGAACGUGAAACCGUUAUAGUGGAAGCGGAUAGAGUUGACGUAUCUUGUAAGUAUUCAGCCAAUUUUUUGGGCAAUUUAUUGGUUUGAAGUUCUGCAAAGUCUUCAAUUAAUAUUGUUGUUUUUUGAAUUGGUGCAUUUGCUUACAGAGUGCGCCGAAUCGAUUGAAUUUGCUGUUUGAUGGUUGAAAAGAGGACUAGUUUACUAGAAACCUGGUCUUCCGGAGGACAGAUAAAUUUGGUUGUAAAAUGAGGCUGGUUUUUCGUGGCAAAAGUUUCAAGUUAAGGUUGUUUUUGUACGAUGCAUGCGUUUUGCAUUUYUGAUUUUGAYUUGGGAUUUUUGUUGCUCUGCCUUACAUUCGGUGUUUAGUYGAUCACCUAUUUGACCCGUCUUGAAACACGGACCAAGGAGUUUAAGGUGUACGCAAGUCAUUGAUUAUUAAAAGUCAUAGGCGUAAUGAAAGUGGGACACUUGGUGUCUGUGAUGUGAACUUGGAUUGUUUCGACGAUUCUAGUGCAACAUCGACCCAUGACUAGGACUUGUUCUGUUGUGGAGUCUGAGCGUACGCUUUGAGACCCGAAAGAUGGUGAACUAUGCCCGAACAGGACGAAGUCAGAGGAAACUCUGAUGGAAGUCCGAAGCGGUUCUGACGUGCAAA